UGUAUUCAUGUCAGACCAGCUGGAACUCCCAAAGCAAACAAGAAAUGAUGAUUCCUUGUGGACUUUUAACAGUCCCAUAACAUUUUUCUUGCCUUUUUUGGUUUUCAAAUAAUAUACAACAUUUUUUACUGCCAAUAAAGUUUACUGGAAUUUUCAUGGCUAACGGUCACUCGCGGUGGAAGUGGGAGCCAGGGAUUGAAGCGGACGGGACGCUAUUUUUGGGCUGCUUCUGGCAGAAAUGGCUUCUCCUCCAGCAGAGGAAGGCGCUGCGGCUGCACGGUGCCGUGCAACAGCCAGCCUGCAGCACAGCACUGUGCCCCUGCUCCGCAUGCUUUGAUGCUCAGAGGGCAUGUUUUCAGUGGGAUUCUUUUCAAGGACUUGACAAUUUAUCAUCCCAAAGGAAAAAGAUCUCAUUGAUUUCAUGAGGAUAGGCCCUUUCUGACUGAACCAGCUUUAACACGCCACUUCUGCCACUUCAACCACUUCCUCGCACAGAAGCAACAGAAGAAUUUCAUCAGAUCUAAGGCCAGCAACAAUUUUUCUUCCUGGCUUAGGAACUGGCCUGAAGGGAGGAGAAGGUCCCCGUGAUGUAUUUACGGAACAGGUCAGUUUCUUUUGAGCAUUCAAUUCUUAAACACAGAGCUGGACAGAAGUGGUGUUUUUCCUCAAAUGAUUUUUUUUUUUAAACACAUAAAAUAUGAAGAAUCCCGAGAAUGAAAAUUAAUGUCAGAAAUUGUGUCAAAAAAAAUCAGUUUAACACUGAAAAAUUUGAAUUUUUGGCUGAAACACUGAGUUUUGUGUUUGUUGCUGAAAAGCAAAUGCCAAGGAAAACAGACAAACUGGGAAUGUUUUUGUUUAGUUCAAAACUUUCUGCCUAAGGAGCUGAAAAUUAAGGCUUAGGUGAACCUUUGCAUUCUGCACACAGGAUAUUCAAAUACAAACGCUGCUUGGAACUGAUUUGCUUUAUCUCCUAUUACUGAGUGACUGAACAUCAAAGUGCUCCCAAGUUAAUGGCAAGGGCAUCAGGGUUGCAUGCAGCCCUGAGCUCUAAGCAAGCAAGGCAUGGGCCACAUGGGGACACUUACUGGGCAGUGGCAGCUUGGUGACGGCAGCACCCAGGGCCUGGCCGCUGAGGUUUAGCUCAGCCAAACCAGGAGGGUCCAGGUCAGAACUGGGCAGAAAACAGCAGGCUCUAACCAGCAGGGACCACUUUGCUCCCUGUGCGUAGGAAACCAUUUAUCUGAAGCCUGUCUACCUGAUAAAUGUAUCAAAAAGCAGCUAGACGUACAGUACUGAGCAAGUCCACACUGAAGCCGACCUGGAUGUUGGUAGGCUUCUGCAGCCUCAGCACUUGGCUGGCUUUUGGCACAGCAACCUGGAUCAGUGAGAGCACAACCAGCACCCAGUGCCAUGCUGACUGCAAAA
Molecule: long non-coding RNA, 1425 nt
Filed under: Numida meleagris (helmeted guineafowl)
Lineage: Eukaryota; Metazoa; Chordata; Aves; Galliformes; Numididae
Description: lncRNA (ENSNMEG00000006548.1)
Source: RNAcentral